UUGCCCCGAGAUGAGUUCUCCCUGACUCCUUGAGAGUCCUGAAGGAACGUUGAAGACGACGACGUUGAUAGGCCGGGUGUGUAAGCGCAGCGAUGCGUUGAGCUAACCGGUACUAAUGAACCGUGAGACUUAACCUUACAACGCCGAAG
RNAcentral lists this ribosomal RNA (149 nucleotides) under Escherichia coli. Its description in RNAcentral is "partial 23S ribosomal RNA". It matches the Rfam family "Bacterial large subunit ribosomal RNA", at positions 2794 to 2925 of the family's 2925-position model. The record is from RNAcentral. Lineage: Bacteria; Pseudomonadati; Pseudomonadota; Gammaproteobacteria; Enterobacterales; Enterobacteriaceae.